UUAUUUUCGUAGCGAUUUCCGUCGUUGUGUCUUUUUAAAAUUAAAGUUUAUCUAGGGCACAAAUCUGCUUACAGACUCACAUUCUCUCUCUCUAUCAAACUCGCCCACUUUCUAUCAUCUUCAAUAAUGUGAGAUUCUUGCUUCCAAUACAACAAAUUGGGCGUGAAUCUAAGGCUCAUAUACAAUGGGAACAUAGAUAUCCAAUGGAGAAUAGAAGAAAUUUCGAAAUUGGGCAAAAGUUUUUGCUUUAUAACUUCUGAAAUUGCCGAGAAAUUCAAAUUAACAUGCAUUCCUGAUAACUUUUUCUAAUUUCGCUGGCUCAUAGCUAUUCCGUUUUGUUUUAACACGCCAUCAAAUGGGUUUGACUAAUUUCUUCAAAUGAGUCUUUUGGAUUUUUCAGUGGAAGUGAAAGACGGAUUCACACUUUGAAGUUCUUUGUUAGCUAUCUCGACGGCCAUUACUUCAUCUCGUGUGAAGAAAGGCGAGUUCCUUUUAGUUGAUGUAAACACUCAGCUGAAGAACAAAAACUUCACAACUGAUUGUUUCCUGAAGAAAUGCGAGUUCCUUACCGUUUAUUUCUCUUUGCUCUUAUUCAGAUUGUUUCAUGUUCUGUUAUAGUGAUGUUCAUGUCUGAAAGCUAUGUCCUUUCCUUUUAAAAUUAAACAGGAGGAAACUUUAGGACUCAAGUUUUUACUAUGCUUCAAGAUUAUAUGCAAUUUUUUAAAUUAAGAGAAGGGGACAUGUAGCCAUAAACUACUUGUAAUAAUAUCUAGCAGAUUGACUUUGCAUA
This is a long non-coding RNA of Nicotiana tabacum (common tobacco), 790 nucleotides long. RefSeq lists it as uncharacterized. The record is from RefSeq and is a predicted model, not a curated record. Lineage: Eukaryota; Viridiplantae; Streptophyta; Magnoliopsida; Solanales; Solanaceae.